GCAAAUCGGUAGACGCUACGGACUUGGAAUCCGUCGACUUUCGAGAUCGUGAGGGUUCAAAUCCCUCUAUCCCCA
RNAcentral lists this transfer RNA (75 nucleotides) under Calorophus elongatus. RNAcentral's name for it is "partial tRNA-Leu". It matches the Rfam family "tRNA", at positions 10 to 71 of the family's 71-position model. Rfam says of the family: Transfer RNA (tRNA) molecules are approximately 80 nucleotides in length. Lineage: Eukaryota; Viridiplantae; Streptophyta; Magnoliopsida; Poales; Restionaceae. The record is from RNAcentral.